UCAUUGUUGACGCGAAUUAAUAGAAAAUUGAAAGUGAUGAACAAUCUUAAAAACAAUAAAGAUAUUUAAAUAAAUAAGAUUGGUAAUUACGUGAUAAAUAAUUAUGACAGAUAAUUCGAUAUUUCCAUUCGAUUGUCGAUAAGUUAUUUAUUAUUUAUUAUUAUCAUUAUUUUGACACAAUACGCGGAAGAAAAUAUGGAUUGGAAAAUAUAUCGGACAAAAGAGAAAGUUACAGUGACAUUUUCAGGAUAAAACGAAAGAGGAGGACGGAGAUCGAAAGAUGUGGAGGAAGAGGAGAAAGGGGAGGAGGACGACAACGAGGAGGAGAAGGUGGAGGAUGAGGAGGAGGAGGAGGAGGAGGAGGAGGAGGAGAUCGAAGUAAAAAGGAGAAUUCGUUUUCCAUUCGAAGUCCAUUUAAACUCGCGGACGCUCAAUUAUCUCGUUCGUGUGCGAUGGGAAUCUAGUUUGUAUUUUGGUACGUACAUACGUGCGUGCACGUGCGGGUGAUAUAUUGUAUGUUGUUUGUAACCGAGUUAAAUUUAAAUCCAAUUUGGAGCAAUAACUUUCCGUAUCGUGAACGGGCAUGGAAAAGAGCGAGAGAAAAGCGAUUGAGUGGUGAGGAUGGGAAGUUAGUUGGAUGGUGGGGUUGUAGAGAGAAGGGAUGCAAGAGAUCGAAGGGUCAAUGCAGAAAGAGAAAGAGAGAGAGAGAGAGAGGAAGAGAGACAGAGAAAGAAUUGGUUUUCAUAUUUGGCAUCGAACGUUCGAUCGAAUCUCUUCUCGAGUCAGUUCAUAGGUCCGUCAUUUUGUUGAGUACUCACUCGAUCCGGCUAACCGUAAGUGGAGAACAAUUUGCGCCACUUCGAUGCUUUUUAAAUGGUUCGUUUCCACGAAUACAUCUACUUAAGCAGCUCGGUUCCUCCAUCGAAGCCUGGCAGUUAAGCUGGGUAUAAGUUCCGCCACGGCGUCUACGAUAGUUGCGGGAUUUCAGCUUUAGUGAAAUUUUAAGCUUCGUCGGUGAAGCCGGAUGGAUAAGAGCCCAUGAUUACAUCCCCAAGUAUCUUCGUCUUCGACUUUACCAUCUUCUUCCUUUCCUUAUUCCUUUUCCUACUAUUUCUCUCUCUCUCUCUCUCUCUUUCUCUCUCUCUCUCUUUCUCUCUCUCUCUCUCUCUUUCUCUCUCUCUCUCUCUCGCUCUCUCUUUGUCUUCAUCUCUAUCUCUCUCUGAAACUCUUUUUCUUUGACUUUUAUAAAGAAUCAUAUUGGUUACAGAGACGGAACGAUAUCUCGAUUACAUCAAUUUAAUUAUGGACUUUUGAAUUUUUUUCUUUUUUUUUCUUUUUUUUUUUUUUUUUCUUUUCUUUAUAAACUUCAUUAUAAACGAUACAUUUCGUAAUUUUAUUAUUCUCGUUUCUCAAUUUUUCUCUCGUAUCUCGGAUAAUUAACAAGAAACUCUUAUUUUCCUGGGAAGCUUAAUUUAAAUUUAUAAUUGUUCAAAAAUCAUUGUUGAUCGAGAAAAUAUGCGGUAGAUAGUUAAGUAUAUGUAUAUAUACAGUUAUCUACAUAGUAUCUUGUUAACCUUAUGCGUUUUAAUAAUGAUAAUAAUGAUAAUAAUGAUAAUAAUAAUGAUAAUUAUUAUGAUUAUUUGACGUCGAAAAUUUUCAAUUAACCGGAGUAAAAUUUUCAAUAAAAUUAGUUCGAAUAAAUAGUGUCCACUCUCGUACAAACUGAUAGGAGCAAACAGUUAACCACUGGAAUAGUCAUUAUUAUGAUAGAAUAUAAAUGUGAUUUUUUUCUUUUAAAAAUGUACAUGAUGAUUGAAAUUAUUAUUAUAUUAUUUUUAUUGAAUUAUGUAUUGUUAUUAUUGUAUAAUAUUAAAGAAUGUGUGAUAAUAACAAUUUUUUAAAGAUGAUGAUCAAUUUAUAGAUUCAUAUAGAAUUAUAAAAAAUAAAACAUAUAAAGAAGUAGUGAGAGAGAGAGAGAGAGAGAGAGAGAGAGAGAGAGAGAGAGAGAGAGAAUAAAAAAAAGAGUCCCUUAGUUGAACACUCUUUUCUUGAUCAAUGAUAAAAAUUUUUCUUGUAGAAAUGAUCGCAGACACGAACAGAACUCGGCCACCUUUCAUACAAUUGUGGAAAUAAUCUGGCUUUCGAGCUGCUUUCUUCGAUAGCAUGCCAUUAUUUUCCAACGGAGCUACAUUUCCGUGUUGGAUCCCCAUUAUAUUCCGUAUCACAAUGGAAUUCGCGUAAAGGGAACUUCGGCUCGCGCUCAGACACCCUUCGCUUCCGUUUCAUCCUUUUUUUUCUUCUUUUUUUGUUUUUUUCUUUCUUCUUCUUCUUCUUCUUUUCCGUUUCAGCCUCCACCAGUCAGCCAUGAUUCAUCCUUUCGAAUUUUACACUUCAUGUACAAUCGUUUUUCUCUCUCUUAUCAUUCUAGAAAAAUAUUCCAUUUAUAUUCGCGCGAGAAAGAAAAUAAUACAAAAUGUUUAACUGCCCGUUUGAUUUUCUUUUCUUUUUUUUCUUUUUUUUUUUCUUUUUUUUUUUUUUUUGAUAAAAUAAAGUAAAAUUUUUUAAUAAAAUCUUUUCAACAUACAGAUUAUACUCGUGAAAUAUAUUUCAAGAGAGACAAGUCUACGAACACACAUAGGGGAUAUAUUUAUAAUAAUCGACUUCGUUGAAGGAUCGUUAAUGUACAGAUAUUAACGUUCGGAACGUUUGUGUGCAUCCAUCGAAGAAGGCUUCUUUGAAAGGAGAUGUGUACGCACGUGCGUUAGAGAAAGUGAGAGAGUGACAGAUAGAGAUAUAUAUAGAUGGAUAAUGAGAAAGAGAGAGAGAGAGAGAGAGAGAGAGAGAGAGAGAGAGAGAGAGAGAGAGAGAGAGAUAGAGAGAUUUUCACAUAGAAUCUAGCGACAUGCGAGUCGCACGACAUUACGAGAUUGCACGAUUUAUGCAUGAAAUAUUCGACUCACACGCAUCUCUCAAACGAGCCAACUCAACGUCGUUAUUCUCUUUCGCUAGAGAAUCUUCAAAAGGUCGGAGUUUCUGGCUUGCGCCGUAUUACGCUUGAACUUCUCUUAUAUAUUGUUACGUUUCUACCUUAUCGAAUAAACCAAAUAUAUAUUGGGAUAUUUACAUAUACAACCAACCGUGACAAACCGCUCGCAGCGUCUGCGGUCUGGCAAAUUAAGAUUUCGCUUCGUCGACUGUAAUUAAUUCUCGCCCUUUGAACGAAUCCAAGUAAAGUUAUUUUUCACCUUCAGAAAGUGAAUAAAUCUUUACACUUUGCAAACGUUACCAAAAAUCUUACGAAAUAUUUUCUUUCUCUCGUAUGAUAGUACGAGAGAAGUUAUGCGAAUAAAUAUGAUGUAUAUCGAAUCGAUCGGGAUAACUUAAAUGGAAGAAACAUAGAGGAAGGUAGAAUAUUUUGGAUAAUAGAUCGUACCGAUCAUUUCAAAGGUACGAUACGAUACAGAUAUUCAUUUUUCUCCGUAUAAGUUAAAGGUGGUUACUUUUACGAGACGUGACUACCGAUCAAGAAUUUUGCUGCCAGCUACUUUCGAAAUUUAAAUCGAUGACUACGUUUUCUCGGAUUCCUUCGUUUCGCUUAUUCAGAGGGUUACGAUGAGAAAUAGAGAAUAACGUAGCUUACGAACGCUUAUCGAUGUAAGACAAUGAAAAGGGCAUAGAACGCGAUAGCCGUGAUAGAAGAGACGUACGUAUGUAUGUAUCAUUGUACGUAAGCACGUAAGCCCAUGUUAUAUAUACAUACAUAUGUACAUAUAUAUAUAUAUAUAUUCACGUAUAUGCACACGUAUGUCAUAAACGGAAGUUGAAUAACUUGGAUCGUCGAGCAGACAUUCGAAGACGUGACGCGUUUCUUCUCGUUACUUCUUGUAUCUCGUACUUAUAUAUUACUGAAUACGAAUCAGGAAUAAACUUUUAUACGUAUUUUUCAUCCAAUAUCUUUUUGGUAUAAUAUCAUUAUAAAAUGUCAUAGAUAACUAUAUUACGUUACAAUGAUACCAUAAAUAUAUUAAAUACAAUGUUAUACAAAUUAAAUGAUAUAUUUGAUUUCUUAAAUAUUAUCAAUAACAUUUUAGAUUAUUUUUUAAGAAUGAAAAAUAUAAGUAUAGACGCGAUAUGUUGACUUAAAAUCACGAUAAUUUAUUGAAGGUUAACGAGAAGUUUCUGUUUGAAUUCAACAGGAAAACUUUGUAUGAGAAAGUAACGAGUAACUUUUGGAAGAUAUACCAAAUGUUGAACGAGUAUAAGGUAACGAUUUAGUAAAAGAAAGAAGAAGAUUUCGUCUAUAUGACAGAAAUAAAUAGAAAGAGAAGCAUUAAAGAAAGAAAGAAAGAUAGAAUUCGCAAGAGUAAAAUGAUGACGACGGGUUGAGUGGUAGUAUUUUUUUUUUUUUGUUUUUUUUCUUUUAUUGGUGAUAAAAAAUCGCACGUCAAUUAAAAGUCUACGUUCGUAGAUCAACGCGGUAUUGAUGAGAGAACGGGUAUAUGAGAAAGAAAAAGAGAGACAGAGAGGGAGAGAGAGAGAGAGAGAGUAGUAGCGGGAAAGCGUUGAUUUAAUUGCUGGGUCUCCACUUGUCGUCAAUCCAACGGAACACAGCCAACAGAAUGUUUCGGAACCUGAAACAAUACGUCGCAUUCGACACGUCCUGCACCCAUUAAAUCCUCGUUCGAGGCUCGUGUCUCUUUUAUUAUUUUUUUUUUUUUAUUUUUUUUUUUUUUUUACUUUUUUUUCUUUUCAUUUGUCGAUCAAAAAAUCUAUCGACCAAUCAUGCUUUUUACCGUCCCCCCUUUCUCCUUCUAAAAAAAAAAAAUUAAAAAGAGCAAUGUCCCUCUCAUCUUUAACCUUUUAUAUUUUAUUUAUUUGUACGCGCGUCGCAAAUGUAGGUACGCGCGUAUAUUUAAAAUAAAAGAAAUAUAUAAAUACAAAAAAAGAAAAAAAGAAAAAAAGAAAAAAAGAAAAAAAAAAAAAAAGAAGA
Molecule: long non-coding RNA, 4990 nt
Organism: Vespa velutina
Lineage: Eukaryota; Metazoa; Arthropoda; Insecta; Hymenoptera; Vespidae
Exons: 4
Source: RefSeq, a predicted model, not a curated record